Choloepus didactylus (southern two-toed sloth) is the source of this 2477-nucleotide long non-coding RNA. RefSeq lists it as uncharacterized. The transcript is spliced from 2 exons. The record is from RefSeq and is a predicted model, not a curated record. Lineage: Eukaryota; Metazoa; Chordata; Mammalia; Pilosa; Megalonychidae.
GAGGCCCCCAGGCGCGGGGGCGCGCGGGGCGCUACUGCGGGGGUGUCUGGCCGCGGGCCCGGCGGCGGCGCCUCCCUGGCUGCGGCCCUCGCUCCAUCGCGCAGUCUCCCGGCGGCCUCUGGCUCCAGGACCCGGCGGCGGCGGCGGCGGCGGCGGGCGCCCGGCGCUUGAGACGCUGCCGCCCAUUGGCUCGCCGUGUCCGCCACCCCCAUUGGUCCGUCCCGGCCGAGCACCAGCGGCGGCGCACGUCACGGCGUCGGGCAGGCCUGUGACCCGCCUGAGGCGGGACUGGGCGGACGUCCCGGUGGUGAUUGGCCAGGGUCGUGCGUAGGGUCGCACGGGGCGUGGGGUAGCCGGCCACUGGAUUGGCUGCCUGCAUCGCAAAGGGAGGGGGAGGUGAGUCUUUCGUUCUCGGAGAUCAUGAUUGGGCGCUCCAAGUGCCGGAAGUGAAGAGGAGACUGGAAGAGAAAUCGGGUCUGGUGGACAUCGGGGAUGAAAUGUCGGCAGUGCGGACUGCAGAUCCUGCUCGUCGUGGAGCCGUCCCUCCUGCCCGCUGCUCGUCUUCAGGGACCAGGUCUGCGCCCGCAGACGCGGCCCUCGUCAGCGAUGCUCAGCUUGGCAGGACGCCGCCGGGGCCCGGGAGGACGGUGUCCCGAGACUCUGGGGCGAGUCUCCUCUGGAUGUUGUGAGACGAAACGGUGCAUGGAAGUCUCCGCUUCGCUGUUGGUGACACCGUGCAGGCAGGUCGCCUCUGCUCGCGUCUGGAGACCCUGUCGGCCUCGGAGAAAGCUUCCCGUAAAUCGGAAACAUCCACGAGGCGUUCUCGUUGCUUAUCUAGUAUAAAGGAAAGGUGGGGUACCUUGGCGAAUGAAAGUUAUAAUUUAUGAGGGGAAGCAGAUGGUCUUUUAUUUCACUUUUAGUUACACAAAAUGUGAAAUUGUUCGAUGGUGAUUUAACAGUAGUUAUUUUGUUUGCAGAUUUGAGCCAAAAUUAAACUUAUCAAGCCAGUGGUACAUCUGGGUUGUUUUAAAUGCAUGUGUGUAUUUGUCCAGAACAGCUAAACCAGGAAAGCCGGAUGCGUAGAAACAAUGCUCCUUUGUUUUCAUACCCUGUAUUUUAUUGACAUCUGGUAAGAAAAAUAUUUAUGGGGUUCAGACUGUGAAAUCAUGGAAUCGCAAAUUCCAGCAAGGACAGGACCUUAAGGCCACCAUUGCCACUUAGCACAGGAUAGUAAGACGACCUCCUGUUGUGCUGUCGGGGUUCCCAUCCCAGCCCUGCGCGCAGUCCUGCUGACCCUCGGUGUUUAAUUUAGCUCUCACAGGCUAGGUUUCUUUUUGGGGGAAAUGGGAGCAAUAAACAGCACUUCUGUCAUAGGGUCAUCAGGAAAAUUAAGUGAGGAAUAUGUGAAACCUCUAAAACAGUGCAUGGCAGUUGGAAGGUCGGUGGAAGUAUUGCAUAUAUAUACUAUCAUUCAAUAGAUUUCUGAAUUUUUUUAAAAAAAGAAGGUUGUCCCAAACAAUAACCAAGAGUCUUUCAAUCUCUGGGAUGCACCCCUUCCCCAAUAACUUGAUUGCAUUGGGGGGUGGGAACCUGAUAAAAACAGCCAACCAUGGCCUGACAAGCACCCAUGAAAAGACAGCCAAGCCAGGGUUCCCAUAUUUGCCUCACUGUGAAAAUUACUCUGUAAAAUUGAUGAAAUUGAGAGUCCCAGGGCCCGCCUGAAUCAAUCUGGAUGGGAGGGGACCAGGAAUUGGUGGUUUUUGUUUUGGUAUCUGACAGCACGCAUCCUUGGGAAAAUUUGAAAAACACUGACCUAAGCCAAUCAGAUAUUCUUAAAGUUGGAAGUAUAAAUAAAGAAGGUAAUUUGCCUUGGAAAUUGAAAACAUGAAGUUCCACAGAAAGGGACGCUAUUAAGUGAAAACUAUAUGACAGAGAAAAGAAGUGUGGAGGUAAGGGACAGAAUUAAGCCAUUUGAUGUGUUAUUUCAACCGUUUACUGAGGGCCUGUCAGGGGCCAGGCUACACACAGUGCUGGGAACCCGCAGGGACAGGGCAGCCAAGUGUCCAUCAUCAGAGGGGUUGGAUGAGCCUCAGGCGGGUUGACACGUUCACCAGCCACCACGGAAGGGCCUGGGUUUGAAAGAAAUGGGGUUAUGAAAGAAUACAGCCUGGGGCCACUUGAAUACAGUUUCCCUGAGUUAUGGAUGUUUGAGCAGCUGUCAAAAGGUUGAGAAAUGGUGAACUGUGUGAGAUGUGGCCAUUCCAGGUCUGUGCUGUCCCAAACGUAGCCCCCGGCCAUGUGUAACAGCUGAGGACUUGGGCCAAAUUGGGAUAUGCUAUAAAUAUAUAACACACAGUGGAUUUUGAGGACCAAGCACAAAGAAAAGCAUGUAAAAUGUUUCAGUUUUCCUGCAUGUUAUAUGUUGAAAUGAUAAUAUUUUGGAUAUUUUAUUGCAUUAAAUAUAAUGUUAAAAUUCA